UNNNNUNNCGGNGNCUGGCUAUGCAGUCGUGACGAGGUAGCCGAAAGCUUGCUUGUGGGCUGAGUAGCGGGGGACGGCUGAGUAAUACUUGGGAACUUGCCUUUAGGAGGGGGACAACCACGGGAAACUGUGGCUAAUACCGCACAAUGUCUACGGACCAAAGCAGGGGAUCUUCGGACCUUGUACCUAAAGAUGGGCCCAAGCGAGAUUAGCUAGUUGGUGGGGUAAAGGCUCACCAAGGCGACUAUCUCUAGCUGUUCUGAGAGGAUGAUCAGCCACACUGGGACUGACACACGGCCCACACUCCUACGGGAGGCAGCAGGGGGGAAUAUUGCACAAUGGGGGAAACCCUGAUGCAGCCAUGCCGCGUGGGUGAAGAAGGCCUUCGGGUUGUAAAGCACUUUCAGUGGUGAGGAAGGCCGUAAGAUUAAUACUCUUGCGGAUUGACGUUAACCACAGAAGAAGCACCGGCUAACUCCGUGCCAGCAGCCGCGGGAAUACGGAGGGUGCAAGCGUUAAUCGGAAUUACUGGGCGUAAAGCGUACGUAGGCGGCUUGUUCAGCAAGAUGUGAAAGCCCCGGGCUCAACCUGGGAAUGGCAUUUUGAACUGGCAGGCUCGAGUUCUGAAGAGGGUGGUAGAAUUUCCUGUGUAGCGGUGAAAUGCGUACAUAUAGGGAGGAAUACCGGUGGCGAAGGCGGCCACCUGGUCAGAAACUGACGCUGACGUACGAAAGCGUGUUGGAGCAAACAGGAUUAGAUACCCCUGGUAGUCCACGCCGUAAACGAUGUCAACUAGUUGUUCGUCUUAUAAACAAUGUGAGUAACGCAGCUAACGCACUAAGUUGACCGCCAUGGGCAGUACCGGCCGCUGAGGCUCAAGNCUCAUAUGAAUUGGCUGGGGGCCCGCCACCAGCGGUGGAUCAUGUGGCUUNAUUUCGAUGAUAACGCGA
RNAcentral lists this ribosomal RNA (950 nucleotides) under Idiomarina sp. GUS1. RNAcentral's name for it is "bacterial SSU rRNA". It matches the Rfam family "Bacterial small subunit ribosomal RNA", at positions 29 to 964 of the family's 1533-position model. The record is from RNAcentral. Lineage: Bacteria; Pseudomonadati; Pseudomonadota; Gammaproteobacteria; Alteromonadales; Idiomarinaceae.